UACGUAGGGUGCAAGCGUUAAUCGGAAUUACUGGGCGUAAAGCGUGCGCAGGCGGCUUUGCAAGACAGAUGUGAAAUCCCCGGGCUUAACCUGGGAACUGCAUUUGUGACUGCAUGGCUAGAGUGCGGCAGAGGGGGAUGGAAUUCCACGUGUAGCAGUGAAAUGCGCAGAGAUGUGGAGGAACACCGAUGGCGAAGGCAGCCUCCUGGGCCAGCACUGACGCUCAUGCACGAAAGCGUGGGGAGCAAACAGG
This 253-nucleotide ribosomal RNA is filed under the name uncultured bacterium. RNAcentral's name for it is "partial 16S ribosomal RNA". It matches the Rfam family "Bacterial small subunit ribosomal RNA", at positions 524 to 776 of the family's 1533-position model. The record is from RNAcentral.